CCCAGACUCCUACGGGAGGCAGCAGUGGGGAAUAUUGCACAAUGGGGGAAACCCUGAUGCAGCGACGCCGCGUGAGUGAAGAAGUAUUUCGGUAUGUAAAGCUCUAUCAGCAGGGAAGAAAAUGACGGUACCUGAUUAAGAAGCCCCGGCUAACUACGUGCCGGCAGCCGCGGUAAUACGUAGGGGGCAAGCGUUAUCCGGAUUUACUGGGUGUAAAGGGAGCGUAGACGGUGAUGCAAGUCAGAAGUGAAAGCCCGGGGCUCAACUCCGGGACUGCUUUUGAAACUGUGUGACUGGAGUGCAGGAGAGGUAAGCGGAAUUCCUGGUGUAGCGGUGAAAUGCGUAGAUAUCAGGAGGAACACCAGUGGCGAAGGCGGCUUACUGGACUGCAACUGACGUUGAGGCUCGAAAGCGUGGGGAGCAAACAGGAUUAGAUACCCGAGUA
RNAcentral lists this ribosomal RNA (445 nucleotides) under uncultured bacterium. RNAcentral describes it as "bacterial SSU rRNA". It matches the Rfam family "Bacterial small subunit ribosomal RNA", at positions 330 to 792 of the family's 1533-position model. The record is from RNAcentral.